ACAGUUCUCAAAUUGAAACCCAUUCAUUUUGGAGGCAAAUCUCAAAUUACAAGUGUGAAAAGCCAAAUGCUCCAACCCCUAACCCUAAAACCCAAAUCCAUUUCAUUCUCAUCGCUUUAUGCUCUUGAAAUCAAGAGAAGAAUUAGGAAAAAACCAUUUACAUCAUCAAUCCAAAACCUGAAAUUGGCUUUUCCCAUACCUAAAAUUGAUUUUCUCUAAUGUUGUGAUUCCGUUUUUACCAUACUUAACUUCCACAAAUAGCUGGUGAGUUUGAAUUUGCAUUUGGUUGUAUCACUGUGAUUAAUACUAUUGUGUUAUCAUGCUUUUGUGUCCCUGCAGUUUGUUUUACUAAUUUAUCCAUGGAGGCCAUUGACUUGACGCUAAACGUAUUGAAUUUGUGCGUGUUUGUUGAAAUGCUUCUACCCCUGCAGUUUGUGUCACCGCUUUAUUCAUUAAAACCAUUUAUUUAACGCUAAACGUACAAAAUUCCCUGGCUGCACAUAUUGUUUAGAAUGACAGAGAAAAAUAAAGACAUUUUGUCAUAAAGUUCCGGCACAACUUGUCUGAAUGCCUGAUAAAGAAACGAUGCCCAAAAUGUGGUGUUGGCUUCUUGAAAUGUAUGGAGGUAGAAAAAAAUAUUGGAAACGUAGGUUGCUUAUUCUUAUGAUGUACUUGUUGGGAA
Molecule: long non-coding RNA, 682 nt
Filed under: Olea europaea (common olive)
Lineage: Eukaryota; Viridiplantae; Streptophyta; Magnoliopsida; Lamiales; Oleaceae
Description: long non-coding RNA (OEUR_LNC009024)
Source: RNAcentral